Molecule: long non-coding RNA, 130 nt
Organism: Sebastes umbrosus (honeycomb rockfish)
Lineage: Eukaryota; Metazoa; Chordata; Actinopteri; Perciformes; Sebastidae
Exons: 3
Source: RefSeq, a predicted model, not a curated record
GACACAUUAUUUUCAGAUUACCUGUCUCAUGCACUACUGUCAGGAUAUAGUGACCGUUUUAUAAAAAUAACUUUUUUUAAUCAUAUUUGCACCAUUUCUAUGCACUGCAGCUUGAAAUGCACAGCUCAUU